This 87-nucleotide transfer RNA is filed under the name Acidobacteriota bacterium. Its description in RNAcentral is "tRNA-Leu". It matches the Rfam family "tRNA". Rfam says of the family: Transfer RNA (tRNA) molecules are approximately 80 nucleotides in length. Their secondary structure includes four short double-helical elements and three loops (D, anti-codon, and T loops). Lineage: Bacteria; Pseudomonadati; Acidobacteriota. RNAcentral also lists the same sequence under 2 other names. The record is from RNAcentral.
GCGGAUGUGGCGGAACUGGCAGACGCGCUAGAUUCAGGUUCUAGUUGGGGCAACUCAGUGGAGGUUCAAGUCCUCUCAUCCGCACCA